This 468-nucleotide ribosomal RNA is filed under the name uncultured Methanosaeta sp. RNAcentral describes it as "bacterial SSU rRNA". It matches the Rfam family "Archaeal small subunit ribosomal RNA", at positions 363 to 832 of the family's 1478-position model. The record is from RNAcentral. Lineage: Archaea; Methanobacteriati; Methanobacteriota; Methanomicrobia; Methanotrichales; Methanotrichaceae.
CACAGCGAUAAGGGACCUCGAGUGCCAAGUUACAAAUCUGGCUGUCGAGAUGCCUAAAAAGCAUUUCAUAGCAAGGGCCGGGCAAGACCGGUGCCAGCCGCCGCGGUAACACCGGCGGCUCGAGUGGUAACCGUUAUUAUUGGGUCUAAAGGGUCUGUAGCCGGCCGGAUAAGUCUCUUGGGAAAUCUGGCAGCUCAACUGUCAGGCUUUCAGGAGAUACUGUCUGGCUCGAGGCCGGGAGAGGUGAGAGGUACUUCAGGGGUAGGGGUGAAAUCUUGUAAUCCUUGAAGGACCACCAGUGGCGAAGGCGUCUCACCAGAACGGACCUGACGGCAAGGGACGAAAGCUAGGGGCACGAACCGGAUUAGAUACCCGGGUAGUCCUAGCCGUAAACGAUACUCGCUAGGUGUCGGCCACGGUGCGACCGUGGUCGGUGCCGUANGGAAGCCGUGAAGCGAGCCACCUGGG